Molecule: ribosomal RNA, 380 nt
Filed under: Streptomycetaceae bacterium ACTS91
Lineage: Bacteria; Bacillati; Actinomycetota; Actinomycetes; Kitasatosporales; Streptomycetaceae
Description: bacterial SSU rRNA
Rfam family: Bacterial small subunit ribosomal RNA
Source: RNAcentral
ACGAUGAAGCCCUUCGGGGUGGAUUAGUGGCGAACGGGUGAGUAACACGUGGGCAAUCUGCCCUGCACUCUGGGACAAGCCCUGGAAACGGGGUCUAAUACCGGAUACUGAUCGCCUUGGGCAUCCUUGGUGAUCGAAAGCUCCGGCGGUGCAGGAUGAGCCCGCGGCCUAUCAGCUUGUUGGUGAGGUAAUGGCUCACCAAGGCGACGACGGGUAGCCGGCCUGAGAGGGCGACCGGCCACACUGGGACUGAGACACGGCCCAGACUCCUACGGGAGGCAGCAGUGGGGAAUAUUGCACAAUGGGCGAAAGCCUGAUGCAGCGACGCCGCGUGAGGGAUGACGGCCUUCGGGUUGUAAACCUCUUUCAGCAGGGAAGAA